Molecule: ribosomal RNA, 398 nt
Filed under: Chrysochromulina parva
Lineage: Eukaryota; Haptophyta; Prymnesiales; Chrysochromulinaceae
Description: partial small subunit ribosomal RNA
Rfam family: Eukaryotic small subunit ribosomal RNA
Source: RNAcentral
GCUUGUCUCAAAGAUUAAGCCAUGCAUGUCUAAGUAUAAGCAACCUUAUACAGCGAAACUGCGUACAGCUCAUUAUAUCAGCAAUUAUUUAUUUGAAGAUCACCUAUUACAUGGAUAACCGUGGUAAUUCUAGAGCUAAUACAUGCAGGAAGACCCGACUCACGAAGGGUUGUAUUUAUUAGAUAAGAAACCUUCCCCUUUGGGUUGCGUGCCGAGUCACAAUAACUGCUCGAAUCGCAUGGCUUCACGCCGGCGAUGGUUCAUUCAAAUUUCUGCCCUAUCAGCUUUCGAUGGUAGGAUCGAGGCCUACCAUGGCGUUUACGGGUAACGGAGAAUUAGGGUUCGAUUCCGGAGAGGGAGCCUGAGAGAUGGCUACCACAUCCAAGGAAGGCAGCAGG